RNAcentral lists this ribosomal RNA (291 nucleotides) under uncultured eukaryote. RNAcentral's name for it is "partial 18S ribosomal RNA". It matches the Rfam family "Eukaryotic small subunit ribosomal RNA", at positions 6 to 318 of the family's 1831-position model. The record is from RNAcentral.
GGUUGAUCCUGCCAGUAGUCAUAUGCUUGUCCUAAAGAUUAAGCCAUGCAUGUGUACGUUCAAGCCCUUGUACGGUGAAACUGCGGAUGGCUCAUUAUAUCAGUGAUAGUUUGGUUGAUGGAGUUCUUAUCGUGGAUAACCGUGGUAAUUCUAGAGCUAAUACAUGCAGAGGGGACGCAAGUCUGGCAUUUAUUAGAUAAAGCCUUGGCAGCGCAAGCUGCUGCGGUGAGUGAUGAUAACUGGGCGGAUCGCGCAGGUCGCGACGCAUCAAGGAAAUUUCUGCCCUAUCAA